UACGAAGGGGGCUAGCGUUGCUCGGAAUCACUGGGCGUAAAGCGCACGUAGGCGGAUUCUUAAGUCAGGGGUGAAAUCCUGGAGCUCAACUCCAGAACUGCCUUUGAUACUGGGAGUCUCGAGUCCGGGAGAGGUGAGUGGAACUGCGAGUGUAGAGGUGAAAUUCGUAGAUAUUCGCAAGAACACCAGUGGCGAAGGCGGCUCACUGGCCCGGUACUGACGCUGAGGUGCGAAAGCGUGGGGAGCAACAGG
Molecule: ribosomal RNA, 252 nt
Filed under: uncultured bacterium
Lineage: Bacteria
Description: partial 16S ribosomal RNA
Rfam family: Bacterial small subunit ribosomal RNA
Source: RNAcentral